GAUGAACGCUAGCGGCAGGCCUAACACAUGCAAGUCGAGGGAGAAGCCCUUCGGGGCAGAAACCGGCGCACGGGUGCGUAACGCGUAUGCAACCUACCUUCCACAGGGGGAUAGCCCGAAGAAAUUUGGAUUAAUACCCCAUAAUAUUAUUGGAUGGCAUCAUUUGAUAAUUAAAAUUACGAUGGUGAAAGAUGGGCAUGCGUCCUAUUAGCUAGUUGGAGUGGUAACGGCACCCCAAGGCUACGAUAGGUAGGGGUCCUGAGAGGGAGAUCCCCCACACUGGUACUGAGACAGGGACCAGACUCCUACGGGAGGCAGCAGUGAGGAAUAUUGGUCAAUGGUCGGAAGACUGAACCAGCCAUGCCGCGUGCAGGAAGAAUGCCUUAUGGGUUGUAAACUGCUUUUAUAUGGGAAGAAUAAGGCGUACGUGUACGUGAUGACGGUACCAUAUGAUAG
This 456-nucleotide ribosomal RNA is filed under the name Capnocytophaga granulosa. RNAcentral describes it as "bacterial SSU rRNA". It matches the Rfam family "Bacterial small subunit ribosomal RNA", at positions 28 to 488 of the family's 1533-position model. Lineage: Bacteria; Pseudomonadati; Bacteroidota; Flavobacteriia; Flavobacteriales; Flavobacteriaceae. The record is from RNAcentral.